Long non-coding RNA from Saccostrea echinata, 2876 nucleotides. RefSeq lists it as uncharacterized. The transcript has 4 exons. The record is from RefSeq and is a predicted model, not a curated record. NCBI's taxonomy places the organism in Eukaryota, Metazoa, Mollusca, Bivalvia, Ostreida, Ostreidae.
AACUAAGAGUAUAGUUAUGAUAUGUAAGGGUUUCUCUUCCAAAAUUGUGAAAGGUUCACUUCUAUAUAAAUAGGGAACUGACCUAUUGGGCCGGGCUUGGUUUUUUUCUCUACUAAAAGCUUGUGGAUUUCCGUUCCGAUUUAUGACAUUAGGCUGAAUACAUGUAACAAUUUGUUUUUCAUAAAUCUUUAUUUCAGUGAGUAGAGGUAGGAGGAACACUUUCAUCGAUAUUCUGAGUUUGUUAUCUCCAAAUGUAAUAAUUGAUAAUUUUCUUUACUUUUCAUUGUCCAUAAUGGUAAUGUCUACUGUCUCUGGAAUUCUAUUCUUUAUGUCUAGGCUAUUUAUUUUACAACACAUUUCCGCUGGAUAUAAUAAAACCUGCCAUUAAUGUGUGCAAAUUAUAAAGGCCUAAAUGAAAUCCAAGGGAGUACAGUUACUGAUAUAUGUAGACCUACUCAAUGUGAUUAAAUUCUAAGGAAUAUACAUGUAUACAAUUGAAAUUCAUCGCAGCUCAAUGCUGCCGAGAAUACCUGUAUCGAGUAACACCGAGUGAGUUAUUCUUGUCCUCGGAGAAAGUGUGCUUAUACUGAGAUUUGUUCCGCCUGACUGACAACUGUACAUUGGAUUGUUACGAUUUGAUCUCUUUCUAGUGUUUCUUAUAUCAAAAAUGGGAAUGCAUAAAGGAUAGAUAAUUGAAGGAAAAUACACAAGUCUAUAAAAAAUUUAAAAUAGUCUUUCAAAAGGCUAAAAUUUAAAACUAUAAAAGUGUGGCACCAGGUGGAUUCGAACCCCCGACUUUAAAAAAGAAAAUACCACCGAUAUAAUAGUCAGCUCAUAUAUCAACUGAGCUAUUCUGACUAUAAGAUCGAAAGGUAUAAAUUUGAAGCAGAUUGUCAAAAUCACGUUUACUUAUUUUUUGUAGUUUUUUUGUGGAUUUCGACCCAAGGGCAGGGGUGCCCCUAAAAAAAUCCUAUCUUAAAUUAUUCCUUACAUCCCAACCUAUCAAAAUAUCACAAUUUCAUUUGGGGGCAGGCCUGCCCUGAAGGACUUCUAGGCCAAAAUUCAUACAAAAAUCAACGCUUUAACGGACAAAAUGGUGUUUCGGCCAACUUUGGAGGUUUAUUGUAAAGUUGUAAAUAAUAAAUUUUAGUUGUAAAAUACAAAUUUGAAAAAUCUAGACAUAUAAAAAACAACAAAUAAAGAUUGAUUUUUAAAUAUCACUUUUUCCGGGAAAUUGUUCUCUCCUAUAGGUCAAUUCUUUUGUAAUAGUGAAUACAUCCUUUAUGGCCCCUGGGUCAGGGUUCUGGUUUUAGGACAGGGCUAUAAUUAUUACAUAGUGAAAAUGCAUUAAUUCUUUGAUAAUCCUCUGCUCUCUUUCUUGGUAUUAAGUACCGAUAAGCUUACUAUAUGUUAAGUUAUGAUGAGCAAGUGUGCCUCUUUCGAUAUUGUGAAUUUCAUGACUUCUGGUUUAAAACGUGAACCCAAUUUAAUUGUGGCAAAGUUGUUCCAUGAUACUCAGGUGACCUACAAGGCCCGUGGGCCUCUUGUUACAAAAAACAAUCCAAGUUUUGGAUUCACAACACUAUAUACAUCUUAAACCAGAUGCUUAAUCCAAACACCAACGUUCAUAUACUAGUACUGGUAGGUUUAUCCCGAACAAGAAGGAAGUGUUGUGUCAUCACUUAUAGGAACUUUUACAUCUAGAUAUCAUUCCCUCUGUAACAUCUGAUGAGAAUGUUUCUAUCUGUAUUCUUCUAGUAAGCAUUGAAAUGAAUAAAAUCUUCAAGUUAAGUCCCUGUAUUAUCUCUGCAGUGACUUUCAUCAUUUAAACUGACAAUCACGACAUUUCAGAUUAACUUUACCUGACUGACUACAAGAUUUGGCAGAAUCCUUUACCUACUGGUAUAACAAAUUAUGGAUCAUCCAGUUACCUGAGCUUUGGAUUCUUUCAAAUGAGUAUAGCCGAGAAUCAUUUAGAUGACCUUACAGAGCUGUUUGAAUUAUUUCCACAGGCUGACCUUAUACGCAAUACUAGCAGAAAGCAUAGUUGCGCCAAGAAAUUGUAUUUUCCUUGGACAUUUGAACUACAAAGAUGGCCUGUCUCCAUCACAAGAUAGGGUUGAAGCCAUUCAAAGACCCACUUUUCUUCCUGCUGAAACAAGAUGUUCACUUCCUGUGGACCGUAAAGCAAAGAGAACCAUUUAAUCCACCUUCCAAUACUUGCAUUCUCUCGUUUUGAUCCACAGUUUCGCAUCGCUGGUAAUACAUGGAGUCUAACCAUGGAUUCAUUUUAUACCAGAUUUAUCCAGGGGAAGAUGAUUCAGCAACUCUCCAUGUGCGUAAUAAUAUACAUGGUUUUGGAUUGUGGGUCAUACGUCAGAAGGACCUGCUAUUUCAUCGUUGAAUGUGACAACCUAGCUAUGAAAUUCCCUGUAUCAGAAAAACGUGUAAGUGCCAUGUAUGAACGCUGGUUACCCAUACUACAGAUAUUUAAUUUCAAUAAUGUUUACAAGCCAGCCUUCGUCUUUGAUGGGCUAAAAAUUGCAGAAUUUGUAUAAUAUUAAAUGCAAUUAAAGUUUUGUUUGACCAGAAAAAUUUUUCAAAAGUUAUAUUAAUUUGAAAUUUUGACUUAAGUCUGUUUUCAUGAUCAGUUCAUGGUUGUAAAGCAAGGAUGAUCUUUAUUUCCCUACUUUAAAGAGGAAUCUGGAUAUUUAUAUUUCCCAUGUUGGAAACAUCUGACACAACAAAUGUUAAACAUAAGUCACUAUGAAAUUGAUCAUCUAUGACUUGACAAAAAACCUAUUUCAGACAAUGGCUUUAAAGCAGAUACUUAAGGAAUAACUGUCUAAUUUUUUGGAUUCAUGAUGUGAUCAAUC